This 862-nucleotide ribosomal RNA is filed under the name Penicillium hordei. RNAcentral describes it as "LSU rRNA". It matches the Rfam family "Eukaryotic large subunit ribosomal RNA", at positions 38 to 919 of the family's 3401-position model. The record is from RNAcentral. Lineage: Eukaryota; Fungi; Ascomycota; Eurotiomycetes; Eurotiales; Aspergillaceae.
GCAUAUCCAUAGCGGAGGAAAAGAAACCAACAGGGAUUGCCCCAGUAACGGCGAGUGAAGCGGCAAGAGCUCAAAUUUGAAAGCUGGCUCCUUCGGGGUCCGCAUUGUAAUUUGCAGAGGAUGCUUCGGGAGCGGUCCCCAUCUAAGUGCCCUGGAACGGGACGUCAUAGAGGGUGAGAAUCCCGUAUGGGAUGGGGUGUCCGCGCCCGUGUGAAGCUCCUUCGACGAGUCGAGUUGUUUGGGAAUGCAGCUCUAAAUGGGUGGUAAAUUUCAUCUAAAGCUAAAUAUUGGCCGGAGACCGAUAGCGCACAAGUAGAGUGAUCGAAAGAUGAAAAGCACUUUGAAAAGAGAGUUAAAAAGCACGUGAAAUUGUUGAAAGGGAAGCGCUUGCGACCAGACUCGCUCGCGGGGUUCAGCCGGCAUUCGUGCCGGUGUACUUCCCCGCGGGCGGGCCAGCGUCGGUUUGGGCGGUCGGUCAAAGGCCCUCGGAAGGUAACGCCCCCAGGGGCGUCUUAUAGCCGAGGGUGCAAUGCGACCUGCCUAGACCGAGGAACGCGCUUCGGCUCGGACGCUGGCAUAAUGGUCGUAAACGACCCGUCUUGAAACACGGACCAAGGAGUCUAACAUCUACGCGAGUGUUCGGGUGUCAAACCCGUGCGCGAAGUGAAAGCGAACGGAGGUGGGAACCCUUACGGGUGCACCAUCGACCGAUCCUGAAGUCUUCGGAUGGAUUUGAGUAAGAGCGUAGCUGUUGGGACCCGAAAGAUGGUGAACUAUGCCUGAAUAGGGCGAAGCCAGAGGAAACUCUGGUGGAGGCUCGUAGCGGUUCUGACGUGCAAAUCGAUCGUCGAAUUUGGGUAUA